Molecule: long non-coding RNA, 2556 nt
Organism: Cyprinus carpio carpio
Lineage: Eukaryota; Metazoa; Chordata; Actinopteri; Cypriniformes; Cyprinidae
Source: Ensembl
CAUCUGGCGUAGCUUUCUCUCAUGCGCUGCCUUUCUAGCUCUCUGCUCCUGUUUCUUGAUCCUCCACUGCAUGCGUCUUCUACGUAUAACCUCCUCAGGAUCUACUUUUGGAUUUGGCGUUGCCACUAUUUGGCUUCUAUCACAUCUUGAUUUAUCUGUAUGCUGUGUCUCUGGACCAGAAGGCUUGGUGCACCUGCUUGUUUUUUUCUGAAUGGGGAUCUGUCUGCAUAUUACGAAGAACUGCAUGUUUGGUUGCAUCUUUGCUGGCUUUUCUAGCCCGCUGUUGUCUUUUCUUUAACCGCCAAUACUCUCUCUUUCGUUGAAGCUCAUCACUUUCACCAAGCUGUUGCUUUUGCAAGGCCUGUGAAGGGUAGGCCUGCUUGGGAUUUGCUCCAUCAUCACUGAACUUCUGAGGUUGCAGAGCCACUGGAGAAAUGGCACGACUUCCGUCUGUAGCCUCUUGACAUACGUUAUGAGUGUUACAAUGACUCGUGUUUUCAAAAGUUGAUGCCUGAGCACUCAAUUUGAUAUCUUUAAGGCUUGUGUCUUUUAAAAUGUCACACUGUAAUAAGAUGUUUUGUUGUAAGGUAAGACUUGGCUUUGCAUCUUCAGAUGUAAAAAGGUCAUCUUUAGUCAACGGAAGAGGCUCAUUUUCACACUUAACAUGCAUUUUGUUGGCAUUAUUUUCUUCUGGUGUGUAAAGCGAUUCCUCCAGGAGCUUCUUCAUGGAAGCAACAGCCUGAAGAGUGGUGGCAUGAUGGUCCACAGCUGUUGGAGGCUCAAUGUGUGAUUCUAAGGAUGCACAAGGUGAAGGUUUGCUGCUAUUAACACUGAUGCAGGGAAUUAUUUCUGGGAUGGAAAACACAGUUUGUAUAGUGGGAUAGACAUGCUCUUCUUUUAUAGGCAUUGGGGCACUGGUAGAGGAGUGACAAACUGUUGUGGUGAUAGAUGAAGUAAUACUUUGCCUAUGGUUUGACUUCUUGUUUUGCUCUCUCUGCUUUAACACAGAAACCUUCGACCUAAGCAGACCAUUUCCAAGUCGGGCAGCUUGACUAGCCCUUUGCUCUCGUUUCUUUAUCCUCCAAUACUCCCUCAAACGGGCGACCCUUUCUUCUUCUGUUGGGGUUUCAGACUGGAUGGUGACUGUCAUACUGCCCAUAACUGCACCUCUGGUUAACCUAGACUGUACUAGAGAGUUUUGGUGAGCAUUAGUAGAAUAACUAGAAAUGUUGCAUGGAGCGGAAUCUAGCUUUGUGACUGCAGGAGCAUCUGAAUAUUGGGGAGAAUUUACUUGAACCUGAAGUUUUACUUUUCCAAUGCAUUUCACACUGGAAAUGUCUUGACUUGUAGGUAGGGAAGCUUUAGGAGAUGUCCUCGAAAUGGAGACUGUCACUGUGCCAUCUUCUUUGAUAAAACCACCAAUGGUAUCUGAGGAAAUUGCAAAUGCACUUGCUUUGCUCGCUUGAACUCCACACGGCUGAUUAAAACUGUUAUAGGAGUGUCUCCCAUGAUGCUUUAGUGCGUCUCGUUCCUUCAGUCGUGCUUUCAAUGCCAUAGACAGCCUUGCUCUCUGCUCACGUUUCUUAAUUCUCCAGUAUUCUUUCUGCCUGGCAUGGCGAUCCUCGGGAGUCUCAACUUUGGAAGCACCAAGGGUGGAUUUCCUCAUUUGGUUUUGAAAACGUUUCUUUUGAGUAAGUGCAAAUUUCUGUACUUUGGAUUUGGAUUUACUUGAGGAUGACUGCAAAAUACCAGAUGUUAAGGAUGCAUGGUUUGGUUUAGGACUCUGAACAUGUAGUUGUGUUGUCCGAGAACCAUUAAAUUUUGCUUCCAGCGACUGCUGAUUAAGGGAUACAAGGUUAGAGUUGAGGCUGAUUCCUUUCAAGGCCUUACUGUAAGUAGGAGACGAAGCAUGCAUGAUACCAACAGAUAAAGGUUGUCCUUGUCUGAGACUCCCUUCUCGGUCCCGGGCCAGCUUUGCAGCACGCUUUGCUCUCUGUUCCCGCUUUUUGAUACGCCAGUUCUCUCUACGCUUAGCAACCAUCUCUUCUUCAGUCACAGCCACUCCCGUGUUGUGCUUUGAAGCAAAGGCACAUGUCCUUCUCUUAGUGAUAGGACUCUGGUUUUCAUGAACCUUACAUUCUGCAGAGGUCAAGGGUCUAAGUGAGUUCUGAGGCUUAUUUUGGUGUCUGUGCACUGGUAAAACCAUGGAUCCAUGGCUUUGCAGAGAUGUUGUUAAUUGCUUGCCAUUUAGGGAUGACAUUCCCGUUUUUGAUUUUGGAGCAUGAGUAUUGUUUGGAUUCAAAUCGAUGCAUGUUGUAGGCACUGAAUGUACUGUAGGGCAGAGAGAUUCAGCUGUUGAAGCAUUUGUUUUUGAUGACCCUGUAUCUGAGGGCUUUAUUUUUUUAUUGGCCAUUACACCCUUCAGGGUAUUUGUGCUUGUUUCUGGGUACUGAGGUAAGACAUGGUUGAGCUUGGUCCUUUGAAACCAUCUCGCUUUUUGGCAUGGCACCAUAUUAAUAUUACUCUCAGAUACUAAUAGACCUGAGCUGAAGGAGU